This 1171-nucleotide long non-coding RNA is filed under the name Homo sapiens (human). Its description in RNAcentral is "HSALNT0381953". The record is from RNAcentral. Lineage: Eukaryota; Metazoa; Chordata; Mammalia; Primates; Hominidae.
AGUAACCCUAUGGAGUCUCUUUCUGUCGUGUGGAAGGUUUGUUCUUUCGCUUUUUGCAAUAACUCUUGCUGCUGUUUACUCUGGGCCCACACUGCCUUUAUAAGCUGUAACACUCGCUGCGAAGGUCUGCCGCUUCACUCCUGAAGCCAGUGAGACCACGAACCCACCGGGAUGAAUGAACAACUCAGAUGGGCCACCAUAAGAGCUGUAACACUCACCAUGAGGGUCUACAGCUUCACUCCUGGUCCAGCUAGACCACGAAUCCACCAGAAGGAAGAAACUCCAAACACAUCCGAACAUCAGAAGGAACAAAUUCCGGACAUGCUGCCUUUAAGAACUGUGACACUCACCACGAGGAUCCACGGCUUCAUUCUUUAAGUUAGACCAAGAACCCACCAAUUCCGGACACAUGUUGAGGAACCAAUGUCUCCAGCCAACAGCCAGUAAGGACCUGAGGCCUGACAACAAUCAGGUGAGUGAACUUGGUAAUAGAUUCUCCCCAGGUGAGCCUGGAGUUGACCACAGCCCGGCUGACAUCUUGAUUGUAGCUGCCUGAGAAACCCAGAGAUGGAGGCACCCAGCUAAGCCACGCUUAGAUUCCUGACUCACAGAAACUGUAAGACAGUAAGUGCUUGUUAAAUGGAGGAGGAGAAAGCAUUUGCGUAAGCAAUAGCUACAUACAAGGGUCUCUGUUGAUUUGUUCCUUGAAAGAGACCAUGCUUGGAAAGGCACCUGCAGUUGGGUACACUACUUAAUUGAGUUAAUAAUUGUCAGUCAUUCUUCCAGGUCCAUCUGUUUUCAUUACCAGUCAAGCUGGAAGGCAGGUAUAAAUUAAGAUAAUUGAUUCAGAUAUUUUAGGGUGACACUAUAGCUAGUCAACAAGGGAUUGUUAUAACUUGUGCAUUACUAUUUUGAUUGGGGGUUGGAGAGUGUAAUAAAGCUCUGUGGAUUCUUCAUAGUCUUUUCUAUCUUGCUCACCCUUGUUCUAAAGGUUAGGAAACCAAUGUGAAGAUUCUGCCUUAUGUCCUUUAAAUGUACACUCAGGAAUUGGGGAAAAAACACUGGAAGGGUUUAGGGUUCCAUCGAACUUACUGUAAGGUGGACUUGGGUUAAAAUUCCUUUAAUUACUUCACCCCUGUAAACCCCACUCUAACCAGUGAACUACUGUGGC